RNAcentral lists this ribosomal RNA (2113 nucleotides) under Escherichia coli. RNAcentral's name for it is "bacterial LSU rRNA". It matches the Rfam family "Bacterial large subunit ribosomal RNA", at positions 1 to 2141 of the family's 2925-position model. The record is from RNAcentral. Lineage: Bacteria; Pseudomonadati; Pseudomonadota; Gammaproteobacteria; Enterobacterales; Enterobacteriaceae.
UUAAGCGACUAAGCGUACACGGUGGAUGCCCUGGCAGUCAGAGGCGAUGAAGGACGUGCUAAUCUGCGAUAAGCGUCGGUAAGGUGAUAUGAACCGUUAUAACCGGCGAUUUCCGAAUGGGGAAACCCAGUGUGUUUCGACACACUAUCAUUAACUGAAUCCAUAGGUUAAUGAGGCGAACCGGGGGAACUGAAACAUCUAAGUACCCCGAGGAAAAGAAAUCAACCGAGAUUCCCCCAGUAGCGGCGAGCGAACGGGGAGGAGCCCAGAGUCUGAAUCAGUGUGUGUGUUAGUGGAAGCGUCUGGAAAGGCGCGCGAUACAGGGUGACAGCCCCGUACACAAAAAUGCACAUAUUGUGAGCUCGAUGAGUAGGGCGGGACACGUGGUAUCCUGUCUGAAUAUGGGGGGACCAUCCUCCAAGGCUAAAUACUCCUGACUGACCGAUAGUGAACCAGUACCGUGAGGGAAAGGCGAAAAGAACCCCGGCGAGGGGAGUGAAAAAGAACCUGAAACCGUGUACGUACAAGCAGUGGGAGCACGCUUAGGCGUGUGACUGCGUACCUUUUGUAUAAUGGGUCAGCGACUUAUAUUCUGUAGCAAGGUUAACCGAAUAGGGGAGCCGAAGGGAAACCGAGUCUUAACUGGGCGUUAAGUUGCAGGGUAUAGACCCGAAACCCGGUGAUCUAGCCAUGGGCAGGUUGAAGGUUGGGUAACACUAACUGGAGGACCGAACCGACUAAUGUUGAAAAAUUAGCGGAUGACUUGUGGCUGGGGGUGAAAGGCCAAUCAAACCGGGAGAUAGCUGGUUCUCCCCGAAAGCUAUUUAGGUAGCGCCUCGUGAACUCAUCUCCGGGGGUAGAGCACUGUUUCGGCAAGGGGGUCAUCCCGACUUACCAACCCGAUGCAAACUGCGAAUACCGGAGAAUGUUAUCACGGGAGACACACGGCGGGUGCUAACGUCCGUCGUGAAGAGGGAAACAACCCAGACCGCCAGCUAAGGUCCCAAAGUCAUGGUUAAGUGGGAAACGAUGUGGGAAGGCCCAGACAGCCAGGAUGUUGGCUUAGAAGCAGCCAUCAUUUAAAGAAAGCGUAAUAGCUCACUGGUCGAGUCGGCCUGCGCGGAAGAUGUAACGGGGCUAAACCAUGCACCGAAGCUGCGGCAGCGACGCUUAUGCGUUGUUGGGUAGGGGAGCGUUCUGUAAGCCUGUGAAGGUGUGCUGUGAGGCAUGCUGGAGGUAUCAGAAGUGCGAAUGCUGACAUAAGUAACGAUAAAGCGGGUGAAAAGCCCGCUCGCCGGAAGACCAAGGGUUCCUGUCCAACGUUAAUCGGGGCAGGGUGAGUCGACCCCUAAGGCGAGGCCGAAAGGCGUAGUCGAUGGGAAACAGGUUAAUAUUCCUGUACUUGGUGUUACUGCGAAGGGGGGACGGAGAAGGCUAUGUUGGCCGGGCGACGGUUGUCCCGGUUUAAGCGUGUAGGCUGGUUUUCCAGGCAAAUCCGGAAAAUCAAGGCUGAGGCGUGAUGACGAGGCACUACGGUGCUGAAGCAACAAAUGCCCUGCUUCCAGGAAAAGCCUCUAAGCAUCAGGUAACAUCAAAUCGUACCCCAAACCGACACAGGUGGUCAGGUAGAGAAUACCAAGGCGCUUGAGAGAACUCGGGUGAAGGAACUAGGCAAAAUGGUGCCGUAACUUCGGGAGAAGGCACGCUGAUAUGUAGGUGAAGCGACUUGCUCGUGGAGCUGAAAUCAGUCGAAGAUACCAGCUGGCUGCAACUGUUUAUUAAAAACACAGCACUGUGCAAACACGAAAGUGGACGUAUACGGUGUGACGCCUGCCCGGUGCCGGAAGGUUAAUUGAUGGGGUCAGCGCAAGCGAAGCUCUUGAUCGAAGCCCCGGUAAACGGCGGCCGUAACUAUAACGGUCCUAAGGUAGCGAAAUUCCUUGUCGGGUAAGUUCCGACCUGCACGAAUGGCGUAAUGAUGGCCAGGCUGUCUCCACCCGAGACUCAGUGAAAUUGAACUCGCUGUGAAGAUGCAGUGUACCCGCGGCAAGACGGAAAGACCCCGUGAACCUUUACUAUAGCUUGACACUGAACAUUGAGCCUUGAUGUGUAG